This is a long non-coding RNA of Momordica charantia (bitter melon), 1001 nucleotides long. RefSeq lists it as uncharacterized. The record is from RefSeq and is a predicted model, not a curated record. Lineage: Eukaryota; Viridiplantae; Streptophyta; Magnoliopsida; Cucurbitales; Cucurbitaceae.
GAGCAAAGAGAUGGCAGUGGAGCAAGUUUCAGGAGCCUCGCAGCCGCCACUGCCAUUUCAGAUUAGGGUCCAUGGCAAUGCGACACAUGGGAUUGGUUGCAGGACACCGGAGUAUCGAACUACUACGGUUGAACGACCUGUUUCAAGAAGAGAAGCUGCCGAUAUUCGGUUGUUUGCGGUACAAUAGAUUGGGCGAAUAAACUUGGGAGAACGAACAAAAACGACCUGAAAUGAGACAAGGAGUUAAGCCUGAGAUCAUCGAUUGAGAUCAUCGAUUGAGGGAGACUGGUCUGCGACGUAACGGGCCGGCCCAAAGAACGACCUAGCGCCGAGGCAGAGAAUGAGGAAAGUGAUCGGUGGAGAAACCAACCGGGUCGAGAGGGCUCGGUCCCGAUCCUUGCUCGGUCCCGACCCCUUCUCGGUCCCGAUCCCUGCUCGGUCCCGACCCCUGGUCGGCUCAUGGCCCAGCCUGUAAAUCUCCCUCCUGCGAUCAACGAUCCUUCGGGCCCGGCAACGUUGAAUUAGGGUUUGGCUACGGAGGUUCUGGAAUCAUCUUCAUGGCUAUAAAUAGCAAUGAGAUCUGAGGAGGCAAGUGACUUAUCCCUAGCUAAUUAUUUUCUCAACUCUUCCUAGCUAACUUAAGCAUCGGAGCCCGUGUGACUAAGGUCACAUCGGUUUAGAUCGGUUUGAUUUUGUAGGUAUCGGUUCCCUUAUCAUUAAGUUAGGUGUGUGCGAGAAGAAGAGCCGAAGGGUCAAAAUCCAUGCAUCAACACAUGUUUUUGGGAAGGAUUAUUUUGUUGGCAAAAUUCAAUUUUUUGUUAGGACGACUUAGAGAAAAUGCCCUUCAUUAUUCCAUGAUGAAAGUAGAUUCUAGAGGUUCGGAUUGUCUUGUUGAGACUAAUUACAUUCGGUUGACGAUCUACUUUGAACUUUCUUUAUAGACUUCGGAUUGGAAUUUUGACUUUAUGUAGUCAUUAACAUCGUUAAUAAAAGUGACAAUG